GGUCGGUUAGAUCAGUUGGUUAGAUCGUGAUGCUAAUAUAUUGUGUGAAAAAAACAUAACUGUUACGUCAAGGCCAUGGGAUCAAGACCCAUACUGACCA
Molecule: transfer RNA, 100 nt
Filed under: Talaromyces rugulosus
Lineage: Eukaryota; Fungi; Ascomycota; Eurotiomycetes; Eurotiales; Trichocomaceae
Description: tRNA-Ile
Source: RNAcentral